RNAcentral lists this ribosomal RNA (1544 nucleotides) under Klebsiella pneumoniae subsp. pneumoniae MGH 78578. RNAcentral describes it as "bacterial SSU rRNA". It matches the Rfam family "Bacterial small subunit ribosomal RNA". Lineage: Bacteria; Pseudomonadati; Pseudomonadota; Gammaproteobacteria; Enterobacterales; Enterobacteriaceae. The record is from RNAcentral.
AAUUGAAGAGUUUGAUCAUGGCUCAGAUUGAACGCUGGCGGCAGGCCUAACACAUGCAAGUCGAGCGGUAGCACAGAGAGCUUGCUCUCGGGUGACGAGCGGCGGACGGGUGAGUAAUGUCUGGGAAACUGCCUGAUGGAGGGGGAUAACUACUGGAAACGGUAGCUAAUACCGCAUAACGUCGCAAGACCAAAGUGGGGGACCUUCGGGCCUCAUGCCAUCAGAUGUGCCCAGAUGGGAUUAGCUAGUAGGUGGGGUAACGGCUCACCUAGGCGACGAUCCCUAGCUGGUCUGAGAGGAUGACCAGCCACACUGGAACUGAGACACGGUCCAGACUCCUACGGGAGGCAGCAGUGGGGAAUAUUGCACAAUGGGCGCAAGCCUGAUGCAGCCAUGCCGCGUGUGUGAAGAAGGCCUUCGGGUUGUAAAGCACUUUCAGCGGGGAGGAAGGCGUUAAGGUUAAUAACCUUGGCGAUUGACGUUACCCGCAGAAGAAGCACCGGCUAACUCCGUGCCAGCAGCCGCGGUAAUACGGAGGGUGCAAGCGUUAAUCGGAAUUACUGGGCGUAAAGCGCACGCAGGCGGUCUGUCAAGUCGGAUGUGAAAUCCCCGGGCUCAACCUGGGAACUGCAUUCGAAACUGGCAGGCUAGAGUCUUGUAGAGGGGGGUAGAAUUCCAGGUGUAGCGGUGAAAUGCGUAGAGAUCUGGAGGAAUACCGGUGGCGAAGGCGGCCCCCUGGACAAAGACUGACGCUCAGGUGCGAAAGCGUGGGGAGCAAACAGGAUUAGAUACCCUGGUAGUCCACGCCGUAAACGAUGUCGAUUUGGAGGUUGUGCCCUUGAGGCGUGGCUUCCGGAGCUAACGCGUUAAAUCGACCGCCUGGGGAGUACGGCCGCAAGGUUAAAACUCAAAUGAAUUGACGGGGGCCCGCACAAGCGGUGGAGCAUGUGGUUUAAUUCGAUGCAACGCGAAGAACCUUACCUGGUCUUGACAUCCACAGAACUUAGCAGAGAUGCUUUGGUGCCUUCGGGAACUGUGAGACAGGUGCUGCAUGGCUGUCGUCAGCUCGUGUUGUGAAAUGUUGGGUUAAGUCCCGCAACGAGCGCAACCCUUAUCCUUUGUUGCCAGCGGUUCGGCCGGGAACUCAAAGGAGACUGCCAGUGAUAAACUGGAGGAAGGUGGGGAUGACGUCAAGUCAUCAUGGCCCUUACGACCAGGGCUACACACGUGCUACAAUGGCAUAUACAAAGAGAAGCGACCUCGCGAGAGCAAGCGGACCUCAUAAAGUAUGUCGUAGUCCGGAUUGGAGUCUGCAACUCGACUCCAUGAAGUCGGAAUCGCUAGUAAUCGUAGAUCAGAAUGCUACGGUGAAUACGUUCCCGGGCCUUGUACACACCGCCCGUCACACCAUGGGAGUGGGUUGCAAAAGAAGUAGGUAGCUUAACCUUCGGGAGGGCGCUUACCACUUUGUGAUUCAUGACUGGGGUGAAGUCGUAACAAGGUAACCGUAGGGGAACCUGCGGUUGGAUCACCUCCUUACCUUA